AGUGAACGCUGGCGGUAGGCCUAACACAUGCAAGUCGAACGGCAGCACAGUAAGAGCUUGCUCUUACGGGUGGCGAGUGGCGGACGGGUGAGGAAUACAUCGGAAUCUACUUUUUCGUGGGGGAUAACGUAGGGAAACUUACGCUAAUACCGCAUACGACCUACGGGUGAAAGCAGGGGAUCUUCGGACCUUGCGCGAUUGAAUGAGCCGAUGUCGGAUUAGCUAGUUGGCGGGGUAAAGGCCCACCAAGGCGACGAUCCGUAGCUGGUCUGAGAGGAUGAGCAGCCACACUGGAACUGAGUCACGGUCCGGACUCCUCCGGGACGCAGCAGUGGGGAAUAUGGGACAAAGGGCGGAAGCCUGAUCAAGCCUUACCGCGUGGGUGAAGAAGGCCUUCGGGUUGUACAGCCCUUUUGUUGGGAAAGAAAAGCAGCAGGUUAAUACCCCGCUGUUCUGACGGUACCAAAAGAAUAAGCACCGGCUAACUUCGUG
Molecule: ribosomal RNA, 492 nt
Filed under: uncultured bacterium
Lineage: Bacteria
Description: partial 16S ribosomal RNA
Rfam family: Bacterial small subunit ribosomal RNA
Source: RNAcentral